GCCAACGACGAUAAAUUCUGGAAGCGCUGUGGAGUUUGUUUGCAUUUCAAUUGCAGUUGGUCGCUAAAAUUGUAGAAAAAAUGUCUCGGAACGUGACACUCUCGGAUGAGCAAAGCAGGCUGAAUGCGCGUCUGGAGGCGCAUAUGGUUUACAUAUGUCCGGAAUGCGGCAAGGCCUUCCGUACUCAGGCUGAGUGGCGACAGCAUCUGAACACGAAACACGACUAUCUAAAGAAGACGUACUCGGACUUCAACUUCAUUCAGAUCGACGAGCGCUUCCACGAGUGCCAGCUGUGCUUCAAGUGGGUGGAAAACGCCCACAAGACAAUCGCCCUGUUGCAGUACCACUACUUCAUGCACCUGGAACACAGUGAGACCUACCGGUGCGUACACUGCCGCAUGGCGUACACGAGACGCCGGGCUCUGAAUGUCCACCUACUAGACACGCACAUGCGGGAGAUCGAGAAGUACGAGAACAAGCUGCGUCAAAUGAAGCGGCAGCAGACAAAAACCACCACUGCGGCAGCAACUGCUGGAAGUGCAGAGAAGGCGACGUCUGUAAGGCCUCGAGGGCGUCCCAAAGGUUCAGCGAACAGAAAGCAAAAUGACCUGCUGCAAAAGGCGCUGAUGGACAUUGAUCUGAACACAGAAUUGGAAAAGUCCCCAACACGGCCAGUGGCAGCACUAGCAGCUCCUGCAAACGCCCCUAAGACCAUUUCAAAUGUCAGCGAGCAGAAUCUAGACCGGUGUUUGAAUGCCUACGAGGACAUCGUGCGCAAGGAAAAGGAAAAGGAUGAGGUGCCAAAGUAUGACGACGAGUUGGAUGCCCUUUGCAAGGAAUUUUUUGAGGAUGGCACCACCCCCGGCAACGUAAAAGCUGAUGAGAAGCGGUCUCAAGACGAGGCGCAUCUGCAGCAACGAAAUCAAGAGGUGGUCAUCAUCGAGAUUGAUGCACUCGGCAAGGAGGAAGUGGCCCAGUUAAAAAAGGAAAUGAAGUCAGACCCAGUAAGUCAACCGGCUAAACGACGGCGCCUGUCAACGACGCCCAGUCGCGACUCCGACACGGAAAUGUCCACCAACGGCCUCACGAAGCUCAUUUCGUACUUGUGUCCAAAGUGCGGCAAAGAGAUUGCCUCGAUGGACGGGUGGCGAACACACGUGUUCAAGAAACACGACUUUGAGCACAUCAUCGAGAACAGUUUUAAGAUUCUGGAGUCUGGGCGCAAGGCCAUGUGCCUGCAGUGCCAUGAGGUGCAACCAACGACUAUGCGCUCACAACUGCAGAAGCACUGCUUUAAGCAUCUGCCUUACCGGUCCUAUCUCAAGUGCACACUCUGUGAUCGCACUAAGACCAGCACCUCAAAGAUCCUCAACCACAUUCGCUACAACCACCAGGAGGAGCUGCAGCGUAAAAACAAGACGCAGCUGCUUAUUAAGCCGGAGCCUAUGUGGGCCAGUCCCAAUAAGUCGAAUCAAGCGGCCAUGGCGGAUGACGCCGGAUCCGAUGACGAGGACGAUCAGGGCGAGCAAGCUGUGUGCGAUCACUGUGACAGAGUGUUUCGAAACAAAUGGCGUUAUGAAAGACACAUUGCCCCUUGCAGGAGAGGCGGAGUAAGAAAGCCAGUCGAAGGGACCGUUGAAGCCAUGUUGAACCAUCUGCGAGACGGACACAUGCGAAUGAAUGCAAUCUGGAAGGUGAUGCAACGUGAAAAGUCUUAGGUAUCGUCUAGCUAAAGUUAAGUCGAUCCACAAUUUUGGCAAUUAUCCACAUGUGUAAAAUAUUCGUAGGUUGCCAAGUUCUUUAUUUUAUGACGAUAUGAAGGCUAAUAAUAGAUACUUUUACCUCCCUUCUCAUAAAUAUCUUUUUUUUGCUGUAAAUAUAGGCUGCAUUUUAAUUUGGAAGAGGAUCGAUGAAGACAUUUAAAUUCAUGGGCACGACCUUUGACAGUGUCUUAAGGAGCAGUAGCGGUUUUGGUUGCCGCCACAUCCGAGGUACUUCAUCUUGAUGCACCUCCCGGAUCUCUGGUUAUAGUACCACAUUUCGUCCAUGGCAGUUCUGUGGCAAUGCCCUCCCCCACGUCCUUCGUUCUUGCCGCCGACGCAAUUCUGACGCCCUGUGUGAAUGACGUCCAUCGCAGCGAUCCUGGGCAUAGGCGAGAGAAGCGUAGAGGACAACGCAAGCUAGAACCAAAAGUAACUUCAUUUUGGAGGGUCGACUUGAUUUGACUGAUCUGUAAUAUGAUGGGCUUAUAUAGGUGGGACUGCCAACAGAUUUAUCAGUUCUCGAGAACGAGUAAAAACGUCUUCACAAUGAAAUCUAUUGUUAAAUAUUUUUGGGCGAUCAGAUAAUGGUACAAAAAGGGCUUUUGAAAGUCGUAAGAUGUAGGAUGAAUAAUAAUAAUAAAAUAGUUGCUUUAAUGAAAA
Molecule: RNA transcript, 2423 nt
Organism: Drosophila teissieri
Lineage: Eukaryota; Metazoa; Arthropoda; Insecta; Diptera; Drosophilidae
Exons: 3
Source: RefSeq, a predicted model, not a curated record